Molecule: unclassified non-coding RNA, 250 nt
Filed under: fungal sp.
Lineage: Eukaryota; Fungi
Description: partial internal transcribed spacer region
Rfam family: Eukaryotic small subunit ribosomal RNA (bases 1-46)
Source: RNAcentral
AAGUCGUAACAAGGUUUCCGUAGGUGAACCUGCGGAAGGAUCAUUCCCAAAAAGCUUUUAAACUUUUCAACGAUUGUGUGAACAACAAACAACCUUUUUCUUUUUAAUUAACUAAGUGUAACUAAAAAUUACAACAAAUUUCAUUGAUUUGCUUGAGAGAGCAAUCAGGAAAAACGCAAAAAAUUUUCUAAAACAAUAAAAACAAAAACAAAAAAGUACAACUCUUAACAAUGGAUAUCUCGGCUCUUGC